AUGUAAAUUUUAGUGAGAAUAGUUAUUUAUUUAAAUAGUAGAUAAUUUUAUUUUAAUCGCAGUAAUUAGUAUUAUUAAUUAAAGAAAUUUAGAAAUAGUAAUAUUAGAUAGAAUUGGUAAAAUUUGUGCCAGCAACCGCGGUUAUACAAAUAAUGCAAUAAUUAUUUAAAAGAAGUUAAAUGAAUAGUUAAUAAAAUAAAUAAAUAUUUAUUAAGUGAAAUUUUAAAAUAUUUUUGUUUUUAUAUUUAUAUUAAUGAUAAAUUGAAGCUUGAAAAUUUCAAUAAUAAACUAGGAUUAGAUACCCUAUUAUUUGAAAUGUAAAUUGAAAUUUUAAAAUAGUAUUAGUUAUGAGCUUGAAAUUUAAAAAAUUUGGCGGUAUUUUAGUCUAUUCAGAGGAACUUGUUCUGUAAUCGAUAAUCCACGUUGGACCUUACUUAAAUUUGUUAUUCAAUUUAUAUACCGUCGUUAUAAGAAUAUUUUAUAAGAAUAAUAAUUUUCUAUAAUUUAUAUAAAAAUUUAUAUCAGAUCAAGGUGUAGUUGAUGUUUAAAUAGAAAUGAGUUACAAUAAAUUUAUUUAAACGAAUUUAAAUAUGAAAAAUUUAUUGAAGGUGGAUUUGAUAGUAAAAUUAUAAAGAUAAAUAGUUUGAUUUUAGCUCUAAAAUAUGUACAUAUCGCCCGUCGCUCUUGUUAUUAAGAUAAGAUAAGUCGUAACAUAGUAGAUGUA
RNAcentral lists this ribosomal RNA (724 nucleotides) under Somatia sp. YSUW04038. RNAcentral describes it as "partial 12S ribosomal RNA". Lineage: Eukaryota; Metazoa; Arthropoda; Insecta; Diptera; Somatiidae. The record is from RNAcentral.